Molecule: non-coding RNA, 291 nt
Organism: Pelodiscus sinensis (Chinese soft-shelled turtle)
Lineage: Eukaryota; Metazoa; Chordata; Testudines; Trionychidae
Source: the annotation of a RefSeq genome assembly
AUGGCCUGGGCCCCUCUGCUCCUUGCACUGUUCACCUACUGCUCAGGUUCUCUGGCCCAGUACGUGCUGACUCAGCCGCCCUCAGUGUCUGUGUCUCCAGGGCAAAACGCUCAACUCACCUGCUCAGGGAACAACAUUGGUAGGAAUUAUGUGCAGUGGUUCCAACAGAAACCUGGCAGCGCCCCCCUACUCGUGAUAUAUCGUAAUAGCAGCAGACCCUCCGGAAUCCCUGAGCGAUUCUCUGGUGCCAACUCCGGGAACACGGCCACGUUAACCAUCACCGGGGUCUAG